RNAcentral lists this small RNA (675 nucleotides) under Pan troglodytes (chimpanzee). Its description in RNAcentral is "retained intron". Lineage: Eukaryota; Metazoa; Chordata; Mammalia; Primates; Hominidae. The record is from RNAcentral.
GGGCUGGUUGGGGACCGGCCGGCUUCCGCUCCUGCUGGAGCCCGGUGCGUGGAAUUCCACGCGAGUGCCGGGGAGUUCCUGGGGAGCUGGGCUUCUCUUUUGGCCCCCAGCGUGUUGACCGAGCCCGCUUCGCACAGCCCUUCCUAGGGUGUGGAGAGCGGGCCCCGCCCUGAAGGGGCACCGUGGGCUGGGGGGCCUGUUUUGGAGCAGGCACCGGUGGCCGAGCUCCGUGACCAUGAAGGUCAAGGUCAUCCCCGUGCUCGAGGACAACUACAUGUACCUGGUCAUCGAGGAGCUCACGCGCGAGGCGGUGGCCGUGGACGUGGCUGUGCCCAAGAGGGGACCACGCGCGGGGAAACCCGGAGCUGGCGCGGCUGCGUCCCGGGCUGGCGGUGCUGGGCGCGGACGAGCGCAUCUUCUCGCUGACGCGCAGGCUGGCGCACGGCGAGGAGCUGCGGUUCGGGGCCAUCCACGUGCGUUGCCUCCUGACGCCCGGCCACACCGCCGGCCACAUGAGCUACUUCCUGUGGGAGGACGAUUGCCCGGACCCACCCGCCCUGUUCUCGGGUACCCGCAGCGCGGAGCGCGCCCACCCCGCCUCCCGCCGGCCCCGCCCCAUCUGCUCUGACCCGCCCUCCCCCGCCAGGCGACGCGCUGUCGGUGGCCGGCUGCGGC